RNAcentral lists this ribosomal RNA (476 nucleotides) under uncultured Methanomicrobiales archaeon. RNAcentral describes it as "bacterial SSU rRNA". It matches the Rfam family "Archaeal small subunit ribosomal RNA", at positions 862 to 1338 of the family's 1478-position model. Lineage: Archaea; Methanobacteriati; Methanobacteriota; Methanomicrobia; Methanomicrobiales. The record is from RNAcentral.
GAAUUGACGGGGAGCACCACAACGGGUGGAGCUUGCGGUUUAAUUGGAUUCAACGCCGGAAAUCUUACCGGGACCGACAGCAAUAUGAAGGCCAGGCUGAAGACUUUGCCGGAUUAGCUGAGAGGUGGUGCAUGGCCGUCGUCAGUUCGUACUGUGAAGCAUCCUGUUAAGUCAGGCAACGAGCGAGACCCACGCCAACAGUUGCCAGCUCGUCCUCCGGGAUGGUGGGGACACUGUUGGGACCGCCUCUGCUAAAGAGGAGGAAGGAAUGGGCAACGGUAGGUCAGCAUGCCCCGAAUUAUCUGGGCUACACGCGGGCUACAAUGGGUGGGACAAUGGGUAUCGACACCGAAAGGUGAAGGCAAUCUCCUAAACCCAUCCGUAGUUCGGAUUGUGGGCUGCAACUCGCCCACAUGAAGCUGGAAUCUGUAGUAAUCGUGUCUCAAAAUGGCACGGUGAAUAUGUCCCUGCUCCUU